CCUCUCCCUCCCUAUCUCUCUCGGGUCCCGUGAAUGCGUGUGAGCAGUAACUCCUCACUAGUACAACACACGCGCUAUAACUCGCUUCGGAUCAAGGGUUUUUCUUACUCAUUUAUUCCACCCUCGUUAGUAGAGAGUAGUGUUUUUUUCCUUGCUGUGGUGAUGCAAGUUGUGAUUUAUUAUUCAGCCAGCUCUCCCUAAGACUAGCGCUAAGGACCUUGUAGACGUGGUAGCGAGAGGGUUAACCGUUGCUCGUCUCUGGCAAUUGUUUCUCUCCGUCGCCGCCGGCCUGGGCGUAAACAUUGAAUGUGACAGACGCGUUUGAGUUGUGGAAUUCCUCGGUGGAUUGUGGUAGUCGUCAGUGAGUACUGCGAGUGAGUGAGUGAGUCGUAUUCUCUCGUCGUCGUCGGAGAUUGUCGUCGUGUGAGUUCUUUUGGAAGGAGAACCCAAAAAAAAAACACCAAGUAGAACGUGAGACGGGGAUUGAGUGAGAGAGGCAGAGAGAAAAAGAGACAAGAUAGAGAGAGA
Aplysia californica (California sea hare) is the source of this 528-nucleotide long non-coding RNA. RefSeq lists it as uncharacterized. The transcript is spliced from 2 exons. Lineage: Eukaryota; Metazoa; Mollusca; Gastropoda; Aplysiida; Aplysiidae. The record is from RefSeq and is a predicted model, not a curated record.